UAAAGGCUGGGGGGCGCUGGCCUGAAAAAGGUUGAGAAACACUGGUCUAACCUGAACAUUAUAUAAUUUAAUAAAUCUAGUUGUAUCAAAUUUUUCCCCAAAACUGCUAAAACAUUGAUAAAUAUGAUAAACAUUACAAAAGAGGGUAAUACGGUUAAAUAUACUGCUCAAAAAAAUAAAGGGAACACUUCAGUGUUCACUUAAAUGUUAAAGUGUUCCCUUUAUUUUUUUUAGCAGUAUAAAUAUUUCAUAGAAGUGUUUCAAAAGAACCAAUUUUUCCAAGGUUAAAAUUGUUGAACUUUUUGGAUUUAAAACCAUGAUGAGAAUAAAAUAAGUCAGUUAAAUAUGGAGUGACAGGGUUAACUUUAUUCUUGUAAAAAAAAAACAGGGUAAUCAUUAUAUGAGGGUUUAAAAUUAGAAGAAAAUAUGAGGAUUCAAACUAAAUUGGUCCAAAUUGGGAUUUACAAACAAGCAAUUAUGGAACUGCUUAAAGCGGUUCAAACAGAUUGACAGAAUAAAACUAAAAAUCUAGUCCUAUGUGUAAUUGUUGAUCCAAGGUAAUAAUGUCUAAACAUUUUUCAUAAUCAUAAUUUACAGUGUUUGGUUUGAGACAAAACCAGGGUUGUCUUUUACUACAUGGAAGGAAUAUAUUACAAGGGAUCUUAAUUUAUCACGUAUCAUUAACGUUUCACACUAUUGACAAUAUGUUACAAGCUUGUAGUGUAGCAGGCUACUCCUUGUAAAAUGAGGACUAUUUGAUUAAAUUCGAUUAAAAUAACAAAAGCAAAAGAUUUAUAUAUGGUUUAAGAUUUCUGGUAAAGUUUCUAUUAGGGAUAAUUCAAAUGAUAUUCCUUUGAUAAAGCAUGACUGUGGGCAGUUUUGCACAUUCAUUUYAUAAUCUGAUCCUUUACAUGAUUUUUUGUUUGGUUUCUGAUUUUGUCUGAUCCUAUGAAUAUGGCAACACUUAAAACAAGCAAUGUUAUUUUUGAAGGUUAAAAUGUGUUACUUAAUUUAAGCAUUUCUUUAACUAUUUAGAGGAGAACUUAAAUAAAAGAUGUUAUUGAUAUAUCGAUGCUCUAUUGGCUUAGUUUAAAAAAAAAAAAGAAAAAACAUUAUGAUGAUGCACAAUCUGAAAGAAUCUUCCUUGCUCUCCUCAUCACCUGUGGAUGCUGCUGCUCCCUGCCUGAGGUCCUUGGCUGUUCAGUGCAUCACCUCCAACAUAGAGAAGAGCAGUGGUACCAAUAAAACCCCACCUGCCCAUCAGAUGGUUUCCCAGAACCGUGGAACUCCGGCAUUCCAGAGUUUAAGGGCAGUACUAGUAUCUAGUGACAAAAAUAUAUGUUUUCCUUCACUUUAAUUUUCUUUAUAUAAUCCAUUGUUUUCGCUUUUUGUUGUGUUUUUUCUAUUGCAGAAGGAAGUCCAAUCCUUUCUUGGUGUGCUGGGAUGCGAGACUGUGGGCGCCUUCCACGAAUGGUGGACCAGUUUACAGCUGAAACGCCACACUGAAGCCUCGCGGGCCUGUCGGGGUUUCCUAUCGAGCUGCACCGGCUCUACAUCUGGACACACGCAGAAACUGAUUUGACGUUGAUAGGUCUCGCUAUAGAGAGACUGAUAUGAUUAGAUUUUAUUACUAUUAUUACAUUUUACUUAGAAAGCAGUUUUACUCGUUUCCUCAUCAUAGUUCAUUCAUACCAGUGUAUUUUGACUGUGCUGCCUUGAUCCUGAUUUAUUGGUUUGCUGUGUUCGUUGUAUGUUCUGUGACUUUCAAGACUCAUUACUUCUAAGCUUCUCUUACCAUUUGAUUUAACAUUGCAUCCUUUCURUGGUUCAUUAACUUUUAAAUAUUACCUUAAAAUUUCAAAUAAGUUUGGUUUAUUAACGUACUAAUAGAUCGUUUUACGCAUUAUUCCUUAUUGCUUUUGUCAACAUUAAAAGAUAGUAUCUUAACAUUUCUAAUUUUACAUUUUAUUAACGUUUCAGUAAUAUCUACCUUUUAUUCAUUUUACCUUUUAUUAAAUUUGGUUCCUGUUUGAGUUCUUAACUUUUAAAACAUAUAUUAAUCUAACAUUUUGUUGACUUUUUGCCUAUUACCCAACACUUUAUUGAUUUUGCAUUUUAGUAACUCUUACUCAUUUACAUUUUAUUCAUUUGAAUAUAUUAGAACAACACUUUAUUCCUUUUUGCAAUUCCCUCAAUUUAACUUUUAACCAUUUCAUGUGUCAUUAAAUGUAACAUUUAUCUCUUUUAACUUUUAUUACUUAAAAAAAAGGGAACACAUUUUCAGACAUGCUGUUAGACAAAGGCCCAUAGUAAAGAGUUACAUGUUUGAUUCUGUUAGACACCAAGGUCCAUUUCUCAC
Poecilia reticulata (guppy) is the source of this 2359-nucleotide non-coding RNA. The record is from RefSeq and is a predicted model, not a curated record. NCBI's taxonomy places the organism in Eukaryota, Metazoa, Chordata, Actinopteri, Cyprinodontiformes, Poeciliidae.